AUGGGCUUUAGGGACCUCCACUCUUUCAAUUUGGCAAUGCUCUCGAAACAAUGUUGGCGACUUAUCACCAACCCAGAUUCUCUUUAUGCUCGAGUUUUGAAAGCAAAAUAUUAUCCAAAUGUAAAUUUACUCCAAGCAACACUGAAAAGCGGAGCAUCAUUUACAUGGCAAAGUAUUAUGAAGGGGUUAGAAACUUUU
Molecule: ribosomal RNA, 198 nt
Filed under: Triticum aestivum (bread wheat)
Lineage: Eukaryota; Viridiplantae; Streptophyta; Magnoliopsida; Poales; Poaceae
Description: partial small subunit ribosomal RNA
Source: RNAcentral